Molecule: ribosomal RNA, 264 nt
Filed under: uncultured soil bacterium
Lineage: Bacteria
Description: partial 16S ribosomal RNA
Rfam family: Bacterial small subunit ribosomal RNA
Source: RNAcentral
AGAUUGAACGCUGGCGGCAGGCCUAACACAUGCAAGUCGAGCGGUAGAGAGGUGCUUGCAUCUCUUGAGAGCGGCGGACGGGUGAGUAAUGCCUAGGAAUCUGCCUAGGUGGUGGGGGAUAACGUUCGGAAACGGACGCUAAUACCGCAUACGUCCUACGGGAGAAAGGCGGGGGACCUUCGGGCCUCGCGCCAUUAGAUGAGCCUAGGUCGGAUUAGCUAGUUGGUGAGUAAUGCUCACCAAGGCGACGAUCCGUAACUGGUC